RNAcentral lists this ribosomal RNA (857 nucleotides) under Pseudomonas aeruginosa. RNAcentral's name for it is "bacterial SSU rRNA". It matches the Rfam family "Bacterial small subunit ribosomal RNA", at positions 20 to 872 of the family's 1533-position model. Lineage: Bacteria; Pseudomonadati; Pseudomonadota; Gammaproteobacteria; Pseudomonadales; Pseudomonadaceae. The record is from RNAcentral.
CUGCUCAGAUUGAACGCUGGCGGCAGGCCUAACACAUGCAAGUCGAGCGGAUGAAGGGAGCUUGCUCCUGGAUUCAGCGGCGGACGGGUGAGUAAUGCCUAGGAAUCUGCCUGGUAGUGGGGGAUAACGUCCGGAAACGGGCGCUAAUACCGCAUACGUCCUGAGGGAGAAAGUGGGGGAUCUUCGGACCUCACGCUAUCAGAUGAGCCUAGGUCGGAUUAGCUAGUUGGUGGGGUAAAGGCCUACCAAGGCGACGAUCCGUAACUGGUCUGAGAGGAUGAUCAGUCACACUGGAACUGAGACACGGUCCAGACUCCUACGGGAGGCAGCAGUGGGGAAUAUUGGACAAUGGGCGAAAGCCUGAUCCAGCCAUGCCGCGUGUGUGAAGAAGGUCUUCGGAUUGUAAAGCACUUUAAGUUGGGAGGAAGGGCAGUAAGUUAAUACCUUGCUGUUUUGACGUUACCAACAGAAUAAGCACCGGCUAACUUCGUGCCAGCAGCCGCGGUAAUACGAAGGGUGCAAGCGUUAAUCGGAAUUACUGGGCGUAAAGCGCGCGUAGGUGGUUCAGCAAGUUGGAUGUGAAAUCCCCGGGCUCAACCUGGGAACUGCAUCCAAAACUACUGAGCUAGAGUACGGUAGAGGGUGGUGGAAUUUCCUGUGUAGCGGUGAAAUGCGUAGAUAUAGGAAGGAACACCAGUGGCGAAGGCGACCACCUGGACUGAUACUGACACUGAGGUGCGAAAGCGUGGGGAGCAAACAGGAUUAGAUACCCUGGUAGUCCACGCCGUAAACGAUGUCGACUAGCCGUUGGGAUCCUUGAGAUCUUAGUGGCGCAGCUAACGCGAUAAGUCGACCGC